Molecule: ribosomal RNA, 1233 nt
Filed under: Heterodera glycines (soybean cyst nematode)
Lineage: Eukaryota; Metazoa; Nematoda; Chromadorea; Rhabditida; Heteroderidae
Also listed under: 1 other name
Description: SSU rRNA
Rfam family: Eukaryotic small subunit ribosomal RNA
Source: RNAcentral
AGUCUGUGCCAGCAGCGCGGGUAAUUCCAGCUCUCAANAUGCAUAGAAUUAUGCUGCGGUAAAAAGCUCGUAGUUGGAUCUGUGCUAGCCGUCCGGUGCACACUUUGUGUGUUACUGGUUUGGUUGGCUUUUCUGCCGGUCUCUCCCCGGCGUUGGCCUUUACCGGUCGGCGUCGGUGGGCUGGCGAGUUUACUUUGAACAAAUCAGAGUGCUUCAAACAGGCGUUUCGCUUGAAUGUUCGUGCAUGGAAUAAUAGAAGAGGAUUUCGGUCCGAUUUUAUUGGUUUUGCUGACCGAGAUAAUGGUUAACAGAGACAAACGGGGCCAUUCGUAUUGCUACGUGAGAGGUGAAAUUCUUGGACCGUAGCAAGACGGACUACAGCGAAAGCAUUUGGCAAGAAUGUCUUCAUUAAUCAAGAACGAAAGUCAGAGGUUCGAAGGCGAUCAGAUACCGCCCUAGUUCUGACCGUAAACGAUGCCAACUAGCGAUCCGCCGGCGGAUUUAUUCGCCCUGGUGGGGAGCUUCCCGGAAACGAAAGUCUUCCGGUUCCGGGGGAAGUAUGGUUGCAAAGCUGAAACUUAAAGGAAUUGACGGAAGGGCACCACCAGGAGUGGAGCCUGCGGCUUAAUUUGACUCAACACGGGGAAACUCACCCGGCCCGGACACCGUAAGGAUUGACAGAUUGAUAGCUUUUUCAUGAUUCGGUGGAUGGUGGUGCAUGGCCGUUCUUAGUUCGUGGAGCGAUUUGUCUGGUUUAUUCCGAUAACGAGCGAGACUCUAGCCUACUAAAUAGUUGGCUCAUUGCUUCUGUGGGCACAACUUCUUAGAGGGAUUUUCGGUGUUCAGCCGCACGAAAUUGAGCAAUAACAGGUCUGUGAUGCCCUUAGAUGUCCGGGGCUGCACGCGCGCUACACUGGCAAAAUCAGCGUGCUUGUCCUUCCCCGAAAGGGGUUGGUAAACCGGUGAAAAUUUGCCGUGAUUGGGAUCGGACAAUUGCAAUUAUUGUCCGAGAACGAAGAAUUCCUUGUAGGGGCGAGUCAUCAACUCGCUCUGAAUACAUCCCUGCCCUUUGUACACACCGCCCGUGGCUGCCCGGGACUGACCCAUUUCGAGAAAUUCAGGGACGGAUAGAGUACCGGCUUCGGACGGUAUGCAUACUGUAACCUAUUUAAUCGCAGUGGUUUGAACCGAGCAGAAGACGAAACCAAGUAACUGUAAGUGAACCUGCUGCUG